RNAcentral lists this ribosomal RNA (460 nucleotides) under uncultured bacterium. RNAcentral's name for it is "partial 16S ribosomal RNA". It matches the Rfam family "Bacterial small subunit ribosomal RNA", at positions 338 to 795 of the family's 1533-position model. The record is from RNAcentral.
CCUACGGGGGGCAGCAGUGAGGAAUAUUGGUCAAUGGACGAGAGUCUGAACCAGCCAAGUAGCGUGAAGGAUGACUGCCCUAUGGGUUGUAAACUUCUUUUAUAUGGGAAUAAAACGUUCCACGUGUGGGAUUUUGUAUGUACCAUAUGAAUAAGGAUCGGCUAACUCCGUGCCAGCAGCCGCGGUAAUACGGAGGAUACGAGCGUUAUCCGGAUUUAUUGGGUUUAAAGGGAGCGUAGGUGGAUUGUUAAGUCAGUUGUGAAAGUUUGCGGCUCAACCGUAAAAUUGCAGUUGAAACUGGCAGUCUUGAGUACAGUAGAGGUGGGCGGAAUUCGUGGUGUAGCGGUGAAAUGCUUAGAUAUCACGAAGAACUCCGAUUGCGAAGGCAGUUCACUGGACUGCAACUGACACUGAGGCUCGAAAGUGUGGGUAUCAAACAGGAUUAGAUACCCCUGUAGUC